UCCUCCUUAGCUCAGCUGGUUAGAGCAUCUGACUGUUAAUCAGAGGGUCCUUGGUUCGAGCCCAAGAGGAGGAGCCA
Molecule: transfer RNA, 77 nt
Filed under: Marinoscillum luteum
Lineage: Bacteria; Pseudomonadati; Bacteroidota; Cytophagia; Cytophagales; Reichenbachiellaceae
Also listed under: 4 other names
Description: tRNA-Asn
Rfam family: tRNA
About the family: Transfer RNA (tRNA) molecules are approximately 80 nucleotides in length. Their secondary structure includes four short double-helical elements and three loops (D, anti-codon, and T loops).
Source: RNAcentral